CCUGAUUUCGUUUUUAUUGGCUAAAAUUCUUAAAAGCCAAGGAAGCCAUAAAUGAGUCAUUCUUGCUAAGAUUGAUCCAUAAUACAUCAAAAUAUAAGUGGACUCCACAUAUACUGUAUUUCUUGAUGUCUCUUUGAUCCGUUAAAGACUACUAGAUUUAGAUAAAAAUUUCUUGCUACAAACAACUUUCUAAAUAGAAAAUAGUAAUAAUCAUUCCCUCUUGUUUCUUUCAUUAAUUCUCCCAAUUUUCCUAUAUUGAAAGGCAAAGAAUAACGCACUACUUCUAUUAGAAUACGCCAACACCUCAAAAUCAUGCAUUCGUGUCCAGCAUCCCCAAAAUACCAAACUUUUUAUGGGUAUAAUAACAAGAGAGGAGUAGGGAGGUUGGAUAUAUCAGAAAGAUGGGACUAGAAAAAAA
This 418-nucleotide unclassified non-coding RNA is filed under the name Hevea brasiliensis (rubber tree). Lineage: Eukaryota; Viridiplantae; Streptophyta; Magnoliopsida; Malpighiales; Euphorbiaceae. The record is from RNAcentral.